UACCAAAACCCAAAACCCAGAAUUGUGC
RNAcentral lists this non-coding RNA (28 nucleotides) under Homo sapiens (human). Lineage: Eukaryota; Metazoa; Chordata; Mammalia; Primates; Hominidae. The record is from RNAcentral.